AARCCUAAAUCUGUCAAGUCUUUGAAUUUGUGUUUUCAUUCAUUUUUUUUAAGCUGGCUGAAUGUUGUAUUUUGACAUACAAAUCUUGCUUGGAGCUUUGAAGUAAUUUUAACCAGCUUUGGUCCUAUAGGUUUCCGUCGGCUGUUGUCCAGAUGACCCUACUCUUUUUUUCCCUCUCACUCUCUCUCUUUCUGCUGAGCAAGUCCAUCUUACAGAGGAUCAAACUGUGAAUCUGACUGACCUGGCUAGUCUGGCUUCCAACACUGUGUUCCCUGAUUCAUCUUCUGCCAAGCCCUUCAAGUUAUUCAUCUGGAAAGAAUAUGCAUUCAUCAUUGUAUUUUUAAUCACACCAAAUAGAUAGACAAAGAGAAUGCCUUGGGGAGACGGGGAGCAAUCUACAAUUCCCAGAGCUCAGAUGCUCCACUGAAUAGCAGCUAAAGGCUUGAUUGCAUAAUCCUAGUUUGACACAUCUCCGACCUCAUGAAAGCCUGGUCGAAUUGUUUGGCCUUGCCAACCCCUUCACAAAUGAGCAGGCUCAUCCCUUCAUUCUCUAUUCUUCUGUGUUCAUUAAUAAAUUAAUUUAUCAGCUCGU
Long non-coding RNA from Poecilia reticulata (guppy), 592 nucleotides. RefSeq lists it as uncharacterized. Lineage: Eukaryota; Metazoa; Chordata; Actinopteri; Cyprinodontiformes; Poeciliidae. The record is from RefSeq and is a predicted model, not a curated record.